This 460-nucleotide ribosomal RNA is filed under the name uncultured bacterium. RNAcentral's name for it is "partial 16S ribosomal RNA". It matches the Rfam family "Bacterial small subunit ribosomal RNA", at positions 338 to 795 of the family's 1533-position model. The record is from RNAcentral.
CCUACGGGAGGCUGCAGUGAGGAAUAUUGGUCAAUGGGCGCGAGCCUGAACCAGCCAAGUAGCGUGAAGGACGACUGCCCUACGGGUUGUAAAUUCUUUUUAUAAAGGAAUAAAGUGAGGCACUUGUGCCUUUUUGUAUGUCCUUUAUGAAUAAGGAUCGGAUAACUCCGUGCCAGCAGCCGCGGUAAUACGGAGGAUCCGAGCGUUAUCCGGAUUUAUUGGGUUUAAAGGGAGCGUAGAUGGGUUGUUAAGUCAGUUGUGAAAGUUUGCGGCUCAACCGUUAAAUUGCAAUUGAUACUGGCUGUCUUGAGUACAGUGGAGGUAGGCGGAAUUCGUGGUGUAGCGGUGAAAUGCUUAGAUAUCACGAAGAACUCCGAUUGCGAAGGCAGCUUACUAAACUGCCACUGACAUUGAUGCUCGAAAGUGUGGGUAUCAAACAGGAUUAGAUACCCUUGUAGUC